Molecule: ribosomal RNA, 465 nt
Filed under: uncultured Glomus
Lineage: Eukaryota; Fungi; Glomeromycota; Glomeromycetes; Glomerales; Glomeraceae
Description: SSU rRNA
Rfam family: Eukaryotic small subunit ribosomal RNA
Source: RNAcentral
AGCAGCCGCGGUAAUUCCAGCUCCAAUAGCGUAUAUUAAAGUUGUUGCAGUUAAAAGCUCGUAGUUGAAUUUCGGGGUUAGUAGGUUGGUCAUGCCUCUGGUAUGUACUGGUCUCACUGAUUCCUCCUUCCUGAUGAACCGUAAUGCCAUUAAUUUGGUGUUGCGGGGAAUUUGGACUGUUACUUUGAAAGAAUUAGAGUGUUUAAAGCAAGCUAACGCUUGAAUACAUUAGCAUGGAAUAAUGAAAUAGGACGUUCGAUCCUAUUUUGUUGGUUUCUAGGAUUGACGUAAUGAUUAAUAGGGAUAGUUGGGGGCAUUAGUAUUCAAUUGUCAGAGGUGAAAUUCUUGGAUUUAUUGAAGACUAACUACUGCGAAAGCAUUUGCCAAGGAUGUUUACAUUAAUCAAGAACGAAAGUUAGGGAUCGAAGACGAUCAGAUACCGUCGUAGUCUUAACCAUAAACUAU